GUAGGUGGCAAGCGUUGUCCGGGAAUUAUUGGGGCGUAAAGCGCGCGCAGGCGGUUCUUUAAGUCUGAUGUGAAAGCCCACGGGCUCAACCGUGGAGGGUCAUUGGAAACUGGAGAACUUGAGUACAGAAGAGGAAAGCGGAAUUCCACGUGUAGCGGUGAAAUGCGUAGAGAUGUGGAGGAACACCAGUGGCGAAGGCGGCUUUCUGGUCUGUAACUGACGCUGAGGCGCGAAAGCGUGGGGAGCAAACAGGAUUAGAUACCCUGGUAGUCCACGCCGUAAACGAUGAGUGCUAAGUGUUAGGGGGUUUCCGCCCCCUUAGUGCUGCAGCUAACGCAUUAAGCACUCCGCCUGGGGAGUACGGCCGCAAAGGCUGA
RNAcentral lists this ribosomal RNA (377 nucleotides) under uncultured organism. RNAcentral's name for it is "partial 16S ribosomal RNA". It matches the Rfam family "Bacterial small subunit ribosomal RNA", at positions 527 to 897 of the family's 1533-position model. The record is from RNAcentral.